This 698-nucleotide ribosomal RNA is filed under the name uncultured bacterium CE61. RNAcentral's name for it is "bacterial SSU rRNA". It matches the Rfam family "Bacterial small subunit ribosomal RNA", at positions 539 to 1240 of the family's 1533-position model. The record is from RNAcentral.
CGUUUCCGGAAUCAUUGGGUUUAAAGGGUCCGCAGGCGGGUAUGUCAGUCAGUGGUGAAAGUCUGCAGCUCAACUGUAGAACUGCCAUUGAUACUGCAUACCUUGAGUAAUUAUGAAGUGGUUAGAAUAUGUAGUGUAGCGGUGAAAUGCAUAGAUAUUACAUAGAAUACCGAUUGCGAAGGCAGAUCACUAAUAAUUUACUGACGCUGAUGGACGAAAGCGUAGGUAGCGAACAGGAUUAGAUACCCUGGUAGUCCACGCUGUAAACGAUGCAUACUAGUUGUUGGCCCUUCGGGGCCAGUGAUGCAGUUAACGCAGUAAGUAUGCCACCUGGGGAGUACGUCGGCAACGAUGAAACUCAAAGGAAUUGACGGGGGCCCGCACAAGCGGUGGAGCAUGUGGCUUAAUUCGAUGCAACGCGAGGAACCUUACCUGGGCUAAAUCUACAGUGUUACCUCCCGAAAAGGAGGGUCCCUUCGGGGCACUAUGGAAGGUGCUGCAUGGCUGUCGUCAGCUCGUGCCGUGAGGUGUUGGGUUAAAGUCCCGCAACGAGCGCAACCCCUGUGGUUAGUUACCAGCACCGUAAUGGUGGGGACUCUAGCCAGACUGCCUACGCAAGUAGUGAGGAAGGUGGGGACGACGUCAAGUCAUCAUGGCCCUUACGUUCCGGGCUGCACACGUGCUACAAUGGAUGGUAC